Molecule: long non-coding RNA, 2250 nt
Organism: Grammomys surdaster
Lineage: Eukaryota; Metazoa; Chordata; Mammalia; Rodentia; Muridae
Exons: 2
Source: RefSeq, a predicted model, not a curated record
GCUGCGGAAGCAGCCUGGGGCUUCCGGGAGGUAGCAGGAGGCCAGGGACUCUAGGCCAAGGACGCUGCCGGCCAGAGCUCUUUCUCGACCCGACUAAAAAUCCCAGAACACACUAAAUCGCCCCUCCCAGCCGCCGAAGACGCCCAUUCCAAAGAACAAUCACACCAGCUUUCUGCAGCCGGAUUUCUCCUUCAGUUUCACCCCGCGCUUCCACUUCCGGCCCUGUGCUGGCUGUCUCGCGAUUCACUUCCGCCCAAAAGUUCGUCCAGGUUUCAGGGUCGGGUUAGUGGGGAGAUUCCGCGUCCGGGAACCCCUCCGGAUUGAGUGAGAACAAGGACCACAGUGCUGAAUGUGAGCAGCAAGGCUGACUGGAGCCAGGAUGAUGACUUCAAUUCCCAGGCACAGAUGGAUUUCUGUUCCUGGCUCCAUGCUCCGUGUCUACUGCAACUAUCCGUGUGCUACAAGCAAUCAUCCGCUUUCAGUGGAGACCUAUGAAGGGACAAGAGUGGGCAAUGAGUUGCCAGCAACUUCACCCUUUACCUUGUUGGGUUACCUGUGGCUAGAAUAGGAAUCAGCCUUAGAAAGGAAGGGACUUUUGGCAUAGUACAACAUGAAUGAAACAUUUUGUUGAGUAAGAUAUGCUAGUCAUAAAAGACAAAUGGUAUCUAUUUCUAUAUACAGCUGUCUCUAGGGUAGUAAAAUUUGUAGAAGCAGAAAGUAGAACAAUGGACACCCUAACCUGGGAAGAUGAAGGAAGAGUUAGUGUACUCUUCCUACUGGGAAGUAGGAGAAGAGUUUCUAUUUGGGAAAUGAGGCAAGUCUUCCUGUGGAAGAUGCCAGUGGCUUCACACGGUGUGAAGAUACUUAUACCAAUUAGCCAGCCACUGAAGAAUGAACAGAAGGUGUAUUUUAAUCUUCAUUAUGAUAAUUUUUAAAUUAAAAAUAUGAUCUGCAGCUACUAUGAGGUUUUUCUGUCCCUGGUCGUCUGAGCAUCCUAUUCCCCCAUCCCUACUGCCUUCCCUGCUCCUCCUCCUCCUCCAUUUUUUCCUCCCCUUCCAUUUACACUUCUUUACCCGUUUUAUCUUCCUCUGUUAUAUAUUUCACCAGCUGUAUGCCCUCUCUGUGCCUCUGUCUCCCUUUCUUCCCUCCUCAUUGGUUUUGUCUGUUUUCUAUCUUGCACCCUAGCCCCAGCUGUACUGCCACAUUAUGUCCUGUCUGUUAGAAAAUCCCACUUGUCACUUUUGUUUCCAUACUGUGUAUCUUUUGUGUCACCAGAGGGAGAAUUACCUUCAAAGCUGGUGGACCAUAUAAGCUGUAGGAAUUAACCCAAUGACUAGGAUUUCAUGAUAGAAAAUACAUCAAGACUUCACAAAUAAACUUAGUUAUUUGUCAAAAUUUAAAAAGAUAUAGGUAUGAUAAAACUUGCCAACAACCUGAAGCAUUAUAUGGACAAAAGUUAUUUUUAUAUACUAUUACAGAAUUAAUAUUCAUUUUAUGUAAACUAAAUUUGCUUUUAGGUGUUAGAAAUUUUACAUAUUUAUAGAACAUCUUAUUAGUUACUUUUGCAUUACUGUGAUUAAAAUAGAGAAGUAAUUUAAGGGAGGGAACGUUUAUUUGGCUACAGUUUCAGAACGGUAGGUACCACCUAUCCUAUAGGAUGCAUGGCUAUGGGAUGAUUGAGAGACAGCAGCUGUUUGCAUUAAGUCAGACUAGGGAGCAGAGACAGAUGAUCUGGAACCAGAAGUGGUUGUAAUGUCCACAAUGCCUGUCCCCAGUGAUUUUCUUAUGCUAGCCAGAAUCCUCCUGCUAAAGGCUCCAUACCUUCAAAAUACUGCUGUAAGCUGGGGACUGAGAAUUCACAAUAGAAGCCUAUGGCAGACAGUUUAGACUCAAUCCAUAGGAGGUAUAAAUGUGACCAUAUGAUCUUUUGAUAUAUGUGUGCAUUGUAAAAUGUUGAAAUCAGGUAAAAUAUACUGAUCUCAAUGACUUACUUGUUUAUGCUGAAAAUGUAAAAACCCUAUCAGUUUUUUUUUAAUACACAGCCAUUAUUGUUUCUAUACUAUUUACAUUUGAGGCUUAAGAUGGCUCAGAUAGUUGAGAGCACUGGCUGCUCUUCCAGAGGUCUGAGUUUAAUUCCCGGCAACCACGUGGUUUCAUAACUAUCUAUAAUGAAAUCUGGUGCUCUCUUCUGGCUUACAGGCACAUAUGCAGGCAGAACACUAUGCAAUAAAUAAAUAAAUCUUAGAUACA